This 1178-nucleotide ribosomal RNA is filed under the name Escherichia coli. Its description in RNAcentral is "bacterial LSU rRNA". It matches the Rfam family "Bacterial large subunit ribosomal RNA", at positions 1 to 1211 of the family's 2925-position model. The record is from RNAcentral. Lineage: Bacteria; Pseudomonadati; Pseudomonadota; Gammaproteobacteria; Enterobacterales; Enterobacteriaceae.
GGGUUGUGAGGUUAAGCGACUAAGCGUACACGGUGGAUGCCCUGGCAGUCAGAGGCGAUGAAGGACGUGCUAAUCUGCGAUAAGCGUCGGUAAGGUGAUAUGAACCGUUAUAACCGGCGAUUUCCGAAUGGGGAAACCCAGUGUGAUUCGUCACACUAUCAUUAACUGAAUCCAUAGGUUAAUGAGGCGAACCGGGGGAACUGAAACAUCUAAGUACCCCGAGGAAAAGAAAUCAACCGAGAUUCCCCCAGUAGCGGCGAGCGAACGGGGAGCAGCCCAGAGCCUGAAUCAGUGUGUGUGUUAGUGGAAGCGUCUGGAAAGGCGUGCGAUACAGGGUGACAGCCCCGUACACAAAAAUGCACAUAUUGUGAGCUCGAUGAGUAGGGCGGGACACGUGGUAUCCUGUCUGAAUAUGGGGGGACCAUCCUCCAAGGCUAAAUACUCCUGACUGACCGAUAGUGAACCAGUACCGUGAGGGAAAGGCGAAAAGAACCCCGGCGAGGGGAGUGAAAAAGAACCUGAAACCGUGUACGUACAAGCAGUGGGAGCACGCUUAGGCGUGUGACUGCGUACCUUUUGUAUAAUGGGUCAGCGACUUAUAUUCUGUAGCAAGGUUAACCGAAUAGGGGAGCCGAAGGGAAACCGAGUCUUAACUGGGCGUUAAGUUGCAGGGUAUAGACCCGAAACCCGGUGAUCUAGCCAUGGGCAGGUUGAAGGUUGGGUAACACUAACUGGAGGACCGAACCGACUAAUGUUGAAAAAUUAGCGGAUGACUUGUGGCUGGGGGUGAAAGGCCAAUCAAACCGGGAGAUAGCUGGUUCUCCCCGAAAGCUAUUUAGGUAGCGCCUCGUGAAUUCAUCUCCGGGGGUAGAGCACUGUUUCGGCAAGGGGGUCAUCCCGACUUACCAACCCGAUGCAAACUGCGAAUACCGGAGAAUGUUAUCACGGGAGACACACGGCGGGUGCUAACGUCCGUCGUGAAGAGGGAAACAACCCAGACCGCCAGCUAAGGUCCCAAAGUCAUGGUUAAGUGGGAAACGAUGUGGGAAGGCCCAGACAGCCAGGAUGUUGGCUUAGAAGCAGCCAUCAUUUAAAGAAAGCGUAAUAGCUCACUGGUCGAGUCGGCCUGCGCGGAAGAUGUAACGGGGCUAAACCAUGCACCGAAGCUGCGGCAGCGA